Acanthopagrus latus (yellowfin seabream) is the source of this 581-nucleotide long non-coding RNA. RefSeq lists it as uncharacterized. The record is from RefSeq and is a predicted model, not a curated record. The transcript has 2 exons. NCBI's taxonomy places the organism in Eukaryota, Metazoa, Chordata, Actinopteri, Spariformes, Sparidae.
AAAUCAGAACAUGAGACACAAGACAUGGAAAAAACACAACACAAGACAUGAUACAACGAAGUAAAUCAUAAACAAGAAACCAAAAACCAGACACAAAGGACAACACAAACAGGAGUCGUGACAUGUUCAAUGAUCAACAGUCUUGAUAAUGAUUAAUAAUGUUGGCACUGAACAGUGAAACAAUCAACAUUAAUUUACUGUGAAUUUGCUCUGUAUAUCGUAUUGAGGAGAAGACUUGAAAACUGAUCACAGUCUCAGGGAGACACUGGAUAUCCAGGAAGAUAUACUUCUCAGUGAAUCAUGUAAAGACCACCAGAGAGCAGCAUACUGCAGUGUUUGGCAUGACGGUGCUUUGAGCACUGGGUGGUGUACAGGUACAGGAAGGAAUAUAAGAGAGUUCACCAGGACAGGUGGAGGUGAUUGAGACCAGGAUGAGCCCACCAAGCAUAUAUUGUUAUGUUAUUUUUCAUUGGAAUCUUGCAAGUUACAAAAGUCUCUCUAGUGGCUUUGAGUAGCAGUUGUUACCACAAUAAGUUGUCAGCUAAUGUUGAAAUUUACUUCAUUUAACCAUUAAUGUGUCA